AGAGUUUGAUCCUGGCUCAGAACGAACGCUGGCGGCGUGCUUAACACAUGCAAGUCGAACGUGAUCCAGAGCUUGCUCUGGUGAAAGUGGCGCACGGGUGAGUAACGCGUGGAUAACCUGCCCUGGUAUCUGGGAUAACAUCUCGAAAGGGGUGCUAAUACCGGAUAAGCCUACGGGAUCUUCGGAUUCUGCAGGAAAAGGAGGCCUCUAUUUAUAAGCUUCCGUAUCAUGAUGGGUCCGCGUACCAUUAGCUAGUUGGUGGGGUAAUGGCCUACCAAGGCGACGAUGGUUAGCUGGUCUGAGAGGAUGAUCAGCCACACUGGAACUGAGACACGGUCCAGACUCCUACGGGAGGCAGCAGUGGGGAAUUUUGCGCAAUGGGGGAAACCCUGACGCAGCAACGCCGCGUGAGUGAUGAAGGCUUUCGGGUCGUAAAGCUCUGUCAGAGGGGAAGAAAUGAAACGUGCUAAUAUCACGUUUUCUUGACGGUACCCUCAAAGGAAGCACCGGCUAACUCCGUGCCAGCAGCCGCGGUAA
This 537-nucleotide ribosomal RNA is filed under the name uncultured bacterium. RNAcentral's name for it is "bacterial SSU rRNA". It matches the Rfam family "Bacterial small subunit ribosomal RNA", at positions 8 to 523 of the family's 1533-position model. The record is from RNAcentral.